RNAcentral lists this ribosomal RNA (253 nucleotides) under uncultured bacterium. RNAcentral describes it as "partial 16S ribosomal RNA". It matches the Rfam family "Bacterial small subunit ribosomal RNA", at positions 524 to 776 of the family's 1533-position model. The record is from RNAcentral.
UACGGAGGGUGCGAGCGUUGUCCGGAAUCACUGGGCGUAAAGGGCGCGUAGGCGGCCUGAUAAGUAGGGGGUGAAAUCCUGCGGCUUAACCGCAGGGCUGCCUUCUAAACUGUCGGGCUAGAGCACGGUAGAGGCAGAUGGAAUUCCCGGUGUAGCGGUGGAAUGCGUAGAGAUCGGGAAGAACAUCGGUGGCGAAAGCGCUCUACUGGACCGCAACUGACACUCAGGGACGAAAGCUAGGGGAGCGAAUGGG